ACUCCUACGGGAGGCAGCAGUGGGGAAUCUUGGACAAUGGGGGAAACCCUGAUCCAGCCAUGCCGCGUGAGCGAUGAAGGCCUUAGGGUUGUAAAGCUCUUUCGCCUGGGAAGAUAAUGACGGUACCAGGUAAAGAAGCCCCGGCUAACUCCGUGCCAGCAGCCGCGGUAAUACGGAGGGGGCUAGCGUUGUUCGGAAUUACUGGGCGUAAAGCGCGCGUAGGCGGACUGGAAAGUUGGGGGUGAAAUCCCGGGGCUCAACCCCGGAACUGCCUCCAAAACUGUCAGUCUUGAGGUCGAGAGAGGUGAGUGGAAUUCCGAGUGUAGAGGUGAAAUUCGUAGAUAUUCGGAGGAACACCAGUGGCGAAGGCGGCUCACUGGCUCGAACCUGACGCUGAGGUGCGAAAGUGUGGGGAGCAAACAGGAUUAGAAACCCGAGUAGUCC
RNAcentral lists this ribosomal RNA (444 nucleotides) under uncultured bacterium. Its description in RNAcentral is "bacterial SSU rRNA". It matches the Rfam family "Bacterial small subunit ribosomal RNA", at positions 335 to 796 of the family's 1533-position model. The record is from RNAcentral.